AGCGAACGCUGGCGGCAGGCCUAACACAUGCAAGUCGAACGAACCUUUCGGGGUUAGUGGCGGACGGGUGAGUAACACGUGGGAACGUGCCUUUAGGUUCGGAAUAACUCAGGGAAACUUGUGCUAAUACCGAAUGUGCCCUUCGGGGGAAAGAUUCAUCGCCUUUAGAGCGGCCCGCGUCUGAUUAGCUAGUUGGUUGAGGUAAUGGCUCACCAAGGCGACGAUCAGUAGCUGGUCUGAGAGGAUGAUCAGCCACAUUGGGACUGAGACACGGCCCAAACUCCUGCGGGAGGCAGCAGUGGGGAAUCUUGCGCAAUGGGCGAAAGCCUGACGCAGCCAUGCCGCGUGAAUGAUGAAGGUCUUAGGAUUGUAAAAUUCUUUCACCGGGGACGAUAAUGACGGUACCCGGAGAAGAAGCCCCGGCUAACUUCGUG
This 434-nucleotide ribosomal RNA is filed under the name uncultured bacterium. RNAcentral's name for it is "partial 16S ribosomal RNA". It matches the Rfam family "Bacterial small subunit ribosomal RNA", at positions 29 to 507 of the family's 1533-position model. The record is from RNAcentral.